Molecule: unclassified non-coding RNA, 1738 nt
Filed under: Amphimedon queenslandica
Lineage: Eukaryota; Metazoa; Porifera; Demospongiae; Haplosclerida; Niphatidae
Description: uncharacterized LOC109580953, transcript variant X1
Source: RNAcentral
CAAGUAUUACUUUAUGCCUUGUGCUCUGAAACCAGCAGAUGUAGAAAGAGAGGAGAGAGAUGGGUCAGUUAGUCCAGCUCCUUUAUUGAUAUGUUUUGAGUGUGGGUAUACUCCUGUUGGUGUAUUCUGUUGUCUAGUAGUGUAUCUUCUUGAUCAGAAGACAGACCGAGCAUUGGAAUGGAAGUUAACUGGCAAUGAUCAAUAUCGUAACAGGAUUACCUUUCAAGUUGGGCAAUACUAUGAUACUGUUACCUUAAUCAGUCGUGCUACUUACCUUGAAGUUUGGGUUCAGCAAAUGAAAGGCUCAGAGCUAUCAACAAGUGAUUUAUUAUCAUCAUUGCACAAAGGACUAGUCACAGUAACACAAUCACUCCAUUACACUUAUAAGUCAAAGCAUAUGUUUGGAAUAUCAUGUACAUGCACUGCAGUGCCUCAUCCUGCUGUGAUUGGCCUUAAUAAAAAAGCAACUAUGUGUUUGAAUGGCAGAAUAGUGGAGUUUAAUGAGAAGCAAUUAUACUGGUCCAGUAAGGUUGUUCAGCUGAAUAACGCAACACAAAAUGCAAGCAGUGAAAUACCAUCUCAAGCUGAAUCUCACAUUCCUAAAAGUUCUUUAUCCCAUGGCACAGCUCCAGUAGAUAUAGAAGUUUGUCCUAGAGACUUGUUUCUUCAUCACUCAGCUGAUAUUACCCAGUGCAUCUCAUUUGAUGUAACGGAUGACGAUACACAAUCUUCAAGCAAUACUAGUAAUGUAUUGGGACUUAAAAGACACAGUGAAGAUGAAGCCUCUGAAUCUGCUUUAACAAAUAUAAAACAAAGACUUUUGUCUGAUGAUGUUGAUGAUCCUCCCUCUCCUCUUAAUAAAGGAUAUGGUAAAAAAUCAACUGAAAAUAAACCACACAGAAUAAAAACUGGACAGCCCUCUGAUGAGCUUGGAAAAAGGAAACAAAAUGAAGAUCAUGAUGGUUCAUCAAGAAGUAAAAGGUUUAAAGUGUCUGGUAAUAAUGACACUACUGCAGAAACAACUAUUAAAUGGGAAAGCUCAUUGUCUCAUAAUGCAGAUCUCCUGUUGGAAAUAAAGCCUCAAAAGAGUGAUCUUCUCAGGCUAUUUCAAUCUUCUGAUGCUCAUUAUAUGAUUAUUGGGACUGCAUUAAAUGUUAAAGUGGAUGACCUAUUACCCAAUCCACAGUCAACUACUAGUAAUCUCAUUCAAGUAUUCCAGAGAUGGAUAGACUCCGAUGACGAUGUGACCUGGAGAAAUAUUCUGCAAGUUUGUGGAGAUUAUCCUGAUAAAUUUGGAAAAGCAAAAUCUGAUGUGCAACAAUUUCUUUCAUCAGAUAGAGCUCGUAUAAAAUAUCUUAAAUAAGCUUUUAUAAAAGACCCAGUACAAGGUUCAUACACUAUCAGUUAUGAUCCUCCUUCCUGUAGAGACUGAUCAACAAAUAAACCUGGUUCUAAGAAAUUAUGCAGUAAAAGAUAAUUUUUACAAAAGAUUUUUUAUCGUGCUUGAUCACUUAUUUCUUUACACACUAUCACUUAACAUUACACUUCUGUCACUUAACAUUUUUUGUUUAUAAAUCAUAAAACCAUACAAUUUUAACAUUAAAAAUAUUAACUAGAAAUUAUUACAAUCAUAAUUGUCAUUUCACAAAUCAUUUCUUCAAGGAGGAACAAUCUAAAACAAAAAGAAGAUAAAUACAUUAUGUCCUCUUGACCAUCUCACCCUCUCUCUCUCUUCUCA